GAUGAACGCUAGCGGCAGGCCUAACACAUGCAAGUCGAGGGGCAUCGCGGUGCAGCAAUGCACUGGCGGCGACCGGCGUACGGGUGCGUAACGCGUAUGCAACCUGCCCCGCACCGGGGGAUAGCCCGCCGAAAGGCGGAUUAAUACCCCAUGGUCCCGGGGGCCCGCAUGGGCAUCCGGGUAAAGCCUUGGCGGUGCGGGAUGGGCAUGCGUGCCAUUAGCUGGCUGGUGGGGUAACGGCCCACCAGGGCAACGAUGGCUAGGGGGUCUGAGAGGAUGGUCCCCCACACUGGUACUGAGACACGGACCAGACUCCUACGGGAGGCAGCAGUGAGGAAUAUUGGUCAAUGGGCGGAAGCCUGAACCAGCCAUGCCGCGUGCGGGAUGAAGGCCCUACGGGUUGUAAACCGCUUUUCCCCCGGGGAAGAACUAAGCCCCCCGCGGGGGGUCGAGUGCCGGUACCGGGGGAACUAAGGGAUCGGCUAACUCCGUG
RNAcentral lists this ribosomal RNA (493 nucleotides) under uncultured bacterium. Its description in RNAcentral is "partial 16S ribosomal RNA". It matches the Rfam family "Bacterial small subunit ribosomal RNA", at positions 28 to 507 of the family's 1533-position model. The record is from RNAcentral.